UAAGAAAAUGAGAAAAUAAAAUUUAAAUUAUGAACAACAAAAAACAGCAAACUGAUAAAUCUAGACUGUUAGUAGACAAGAUAGCAGGUUGGGAAGUGAGAAAAGAAAGGUAGCAUGGUCACCACCUGAUGCGAUGAGAUAACAUCUCAAAUUUUGUAUAGGAACAAUAUUUAUACUGCAUGGAUUCUGGUGUGCAGUUGAAGUGUGCAGACUCAUCUAAUGCCAAUUUCAAAGGAAAAGCGAAGGGCCAAUAUUAUCAUAAGUUAUCAAAUCAAGUUGCAGCUGCAACUUAUGUGGAAGAUAGGAAGGGCUAGGAAAGCUUCUACCGGUUAACAAGACCUGACUAUGCAACCUAAAGCAGAGUUUCAAAUUUCUAAUUCUCUGUAUUGGCACGAGAGAAGGCAGAGAAGAAAAUUAUCCAACUCAUAUUUUAUGAAUCAUCAAGUUACAACUAUUCUGUGAAUCAUUGUACACUCGCAAAAGAGGUAACAAUUAAGUUGGUAUGGGUUCAGGAAACCCAUAUUCAGGCUCAGGUUGGUUAGAUUAAAUCCACCCAAGUUGCAGACUUACGUGCUAGCUCCAAAAUAAUUUAAACAAAUAACAUCAUAUAUUUCAGGUGCAAAAUGCCAUGCAACCUAAAAAUAGUAUUCAUGCUAAAUUUUAGCUUCACUGUCCAUCCCUUGUGUCAUGCAUAAUCACUUGAUAUACCCCCCAUAUUUAAAAAGAGCACAUGUAGCUUCGGCCACAUCUAUAAAAUGCUGAACCAGUUGCUGCAGUUGUAUAACUUUUA
This 790-nucleotide unclassified non-coding RNA is filed under the name Hevea brasiliensis (rubber tree). The record is from RNAcentral. Lineage: Eukaryota; Viridiplantae; Streptophyta; Magnoliopsida; Malpighiales; Euphorbiaceae.